UCUUCGGACUGGCGGCGAGCGGCGGACGGCUGAGUAACACGUAGGAACGUACCCCAAACUGAGGGAUAAGCACCAGAAAUGGUGUCUAAUACCGCAUGUGCUCUUCGGAGUAAAGCUUCGGCGGUUUGGGAACGGCCUGCGCAUGAUUAGCUUGUUGGUGAGGUAAUGGCUCACCAAGGCGAUGAUCAUUAGCUGGUCUGAGAGGAUGAUCAGCCAGACUGGGACUGAGAACGGCCCAGACUCCUACGGGAGGCAGCAGUAGGGAAUUUUCCACAAUGGGCGAAAGCCUGAUGGAGCAACGCCGCGUGCAGGAUGAAGGCCCUUGGGUCGUAAACUGCUUUUAUCUGUGACGAAUAUGACGGUAGCAGAUGAAUAAGGAUCGGCUAACUCCGUGCCAGCAGCCGCGGUCAUACGGAGGAUCCGAGCGUUAUCCGGAAUUACUGGGCGUAAAGAGUUGCGUAGGUGGCAUGUAAAGCAGAUAGUGAAAUUGUGUGGCUCAACCAUACACCCAUUAUCUGAACUCACAAGCUAGAGGACGAGAGAGGUAGAUGGAAUUCCCUGUGUAGGAGUGAAAUCCGUAGAUAUAGGGAGGAACACCGAUGGCGUAAGCAGUCUACUGGCUCGUUCCUGACACUCAGGCACGAAAGCGUGGGGAGCAAACGGGAUUAGAUACCCCGGUAGUCCACGCCGUAAACUAUGGAUGCUAGCCGUUUUCGGUAUCGACCCCGAAUGUGGCGAAGCUAACGCGUUAAGCAUCCCGCCUGUGGAGUACGGUCGCAAGACUAAAACAUAAAGGAAUUGAC
RNAcentral lists this ribosomal RNA (803 nucleotides) under uncultured Pseudomonadota bacterium. RNAcentral describes it as "bacterial SSU rRNA". It matches the Rfam family "Bacterial small subunit ribosomal RNA", at positions 77 to 914 of the family's 1533-position model. The record is from RNAcentral. Lineage: Bacteria; Pseudomonadati; Pseudomonadota.